RNAcentral lists this long non-coding RNA (510 nucleotides) under Capsicum annuum. RNAcentral's name for it is "long non-coding RNA (CANN_LNC008526)". The record is from RNAcentral. Lineage: Eukaryota; Viridiplantae; Streptophyta; Magnoliopsida; Solanales; Solanaceae.
AUCUAUUGAUAUAUAGAGUUCACAUCUACAACAAUUGAAGCUCAACCCAUAAACUAACAAUGGAAGAAAGGGGAAAAAGGAACUUAACUUUGACAAGGAAGGUGACAAGCUGAACUCUUGGUCCGAUGAGUUGGAGCAGAGGGUCGACGGAGAAGCCAUUUUCGAUGACGAGAUAGGCGGCAGCUGUCUUAGAUACCUAUUUCAUGUUUAUUAAUAUAUAGAGUUUACAUCUACAACAAUAACCACCUGGAUUCUUCUAAUUCCCUAGAAUUUAAUUUUAGUAGGAUGGUGGUAUUAGCUUCAUUGAAGCUCAACCCAUAAAAUAACAAUAGAAGGAAGGGGAAAAAGGAACUUAACUUUGACAAGGAAGGUGACAAGCUGAACUCCUGGUCCGAUGAGUUGGAACAGAGGGUCGACGGAGAAGCCAUUUCCGAUGAUGAGAUAGGCGGCAGCUCUCUUAGUUUCCUAUUUUGAGUUUAGUGAUAUGUUUGUCUGACUAGGGAAUUUCAU